This 497-nucleotide ribosomal RNA is filed under the name uncultured bacterium. RNAcentral's name for it is "partial 16S ribosomal RNA". It matches the Rfam family "Bacterial small subunit ribosomal RNA", at positions 28 to 507 of the family's 1533-position model. The record is from RNAcentral.
GAUGAACGCUGGCGGCGUGCCUAAUACAUGCAAGUCGAGCGAACAGACGAGGAGCUUGCUCCUCUGACGUUAGCGGCGGACGGGUGAGUAACACGUGGAUAACCUACCUAUAAGACUGGGAUAACUUCGGGAAACCGGAGCUAAUACCGGAUAAUAUAUUGAACCGCAUGGUUCAAUAGUGAAAGACGGUUUUGCUGUCACUUAUAGAUGGAUCCGCGCCGCAUUAGCUAGUUGGUAAGUUAACGGCUUACCAAGGCAACGAUGCGUAUCCGACCUGAGAGGGUGAUCGGCCACACUGGAACUGAGACACGGUCCAGACUCCUACGGGAGGCAGCAGUAGGGAAUCUUCCGCAAUGGGCGAAAGCCUGACGGAGCAACGCCGCGUGAGUGAUGAAGGUCUUCGGAUCGUAAAACUCUGUUAUUAGGGAAGAACAAAUGUGUAAGUAACUAUGCACGUCUUGACGGUACCUAAUCAGAAAGCCACGGCUAACUACGUG